RNAcentral lists this transfer RNA (92 nucleotides) under Pseudomonadota bacterium. Its description in RNAcentral is "Proteobacteria bacterium (mine drainage metagenome) tRNA-Ser". It matches the Rfam family "tRNA". From Rfam's summary of the family: Transfer RNA (tRNA) molecules are approximately 80 nucleotides in length. Their secondary structure includes four short double-helical elements and three loops (D, anti-codon, and T loops). Lineage: Bacteria; Pseudomonadati; Pseudomonadota. The record is from RNAcentral.
GGACGGAUGGCCGAGUGGCUGAAGGCGCACGCUUGGAAAGCGUGUGUAGGGAUAAAACUCUACCGAGGGUUCGAAUCCCUCUCCGUCCGCCA